RNAcentral lists this unclassified non-coding RNA (301 nucleotides) under fungal sp. RNAcentral's name for it is "partial internal transcribed spacer region". The stretch from base 1 to 46 matches the Rfam family "Eukaryotic small subunit ribosomal RNA", at positions 1786 to 1831 of the family's 1831-position model. Lineage: Eukaryota; Fungi. The record is from RNAcentral.
AAGUCGUAACAAGGUAACCGUAGGUGAACCUGCGGUUGGAUCAUUACCAAUUUCUUUUUUGGGUGUUUUAAAAGAGUUUAUUCUCUUUUUUUUCCCCAAAAAUAAAACUACACCUUGUGAACCUUAAAAACGUAUUUUGGCGGCCCUCCAAAACCGUAGUUUUUAUUAACUACCUGGGCCGUCAGCUUCAAUAAAAACACCAAUGAUAACUUUUGUAUUACCAUGUCUCCAAAAGAUUCUCUUAGUGAAUCUUGUUUAAUUAAACCUUAAACAACUUUUGACAACGGAUCUCUUGGCUCUC